GAUGAACGCUGGCGGCGUGCUUAACACAUGCAGGUCGAACGAAGCACUUUAUUUGAUUUCCUUCGGGACUGAUUAUUUUGUGACUGAGUGGCGGACGGGUGAGUAACGCGUGGGUAACCUGCCUUGUACAGGGGGAUAACAGUUGGAAACGGCUGCUAAUACCGCAUAAGCGCACGGCAUCGCAUGAUGCAGUGUGAAAAACUCCGGUGGUAUAAGAUGGACCCGCGUUGGAUUAGCUAGUUGGUGAGGUAACGGCCCACCAAGGCGACGAUCCAUAGCCGACCUGAGAGGGUGACCGGCCACAUUGGGACUGAGACACGGCCCAAACUCCUACGGGAGGCAGCAGUGGGGAAUAUUGCACAAUGGGCGAAAGCCUGAUGCAGCGACGCCGCGUGAGCGAAGAAGUAUUUCGGUAUGUAAAGCUCUAUCAGCAGGGAAGAUAAUGACGGUACCUGACUAAGAAGCACCGGCUAAAUACGUG
This 481-nucleotide ribosomal RNA is filed under the name uncultured bacterium. RNAcentral describes it as "partial 16S ribosomal RNA". It matches the Rfam family "Bacterial small subunit ribosomal RNA", at positions 28 to 507 of the family's 1533-position model. The record is from RNAcentral.